RNAcentral lists this ribosomal RNA (383 nucleotides) under uncultured eukaryote. Its description in RNAcentral is "partial 18S ribosomal RNA". It matches the Rfam family "Eukaryotic small subunit ribosomal RNA", at positions 592 to 976 of the family's 1831-position model. The record is from RNAcentral.
CAAUAGCGUAUAUUCAAGUUGUUGCAGUUAAAAAGCUCGUAGUUGGAUUUCUGGUAGGAGCGACCGUGCCGAACUUGAUUGUUCGAGUAUUGUGUUGUCUUCAGCCAUCCUCGUGGAGAACUUUUCUAACAUUAACUUGUUGGGAUUGGGACCCGCGUCGUUUACUGUGAAAAAAUUAGAGUGUUUAAAGCAGGCAUUAGCUUGAAUACAUUAGCAUGGAAUAAUAAGAUAGGACUUUGGUACUAUUUUGUUGGUUUGCAUACCAAAUUAAUGAUCAACAGGAACAGUUUGAGGAUAUUCGUAUGAACAUGUCAGAGGUGAAAUUCUUGGAUUUUGAUCAGACGAACUACUGCGAAAGCAUUUAUCAAGGAUGUUUUCAUUAA